This 1579-nucleotide ribosomal RNA is filed under the name Duploperaclistus circocirrus. Its description in RNAcentral is "SSU rRNA". It matches the Rfam family "Eukaryotic small subunit ribosomal RNA", at positions 142 to 1733 of the family's 1831-position model. The record is from RNAcentral. Lineage: Eukaryota; Metazoa; Platyhelminthes; Proseriata; Monocelididae.
GAUACCUGUGGUAAUUCUAGAGCUAAUACAUGCCCUGGUUAAGUCGCCCUCACGGGUGGCUUGCAAUUAUUAGACCAAAACUAACUCGGCGCUUCGGUGUCGGUCUGUUUACUGGUAACUCUGGAUAAUUAGUACUAUCGCACGAUCUUGUGUCGGCGAUAUGGUCGAUAUUUGUCUGCCCUAUCAACCUGAUGUUUGGCAACCGCCUUACCAAGGUGAUAACGGGUAACGGGGAAUCAGGGUUCGAUUCCGGAGAGUGAGCCUGAAAAACAGCUAACACAUCCAAGGAAGGCAGCAGGCGCGCAAAUUACCCACUUCCGAAAGGGAGAGGUAGUGAGCAUAAAUAACGAUGCGGGUGUCUUUCUGAGGCCCCGUAAUCGGAAUGAGACCACUUUAAAUCCUUUAACGAGGAACAAUUGGAGGGCAAGUCUGGUGCCAGCAGCCGCGGUAAUUCCAGCUCCAAUAGCGUAUAUUAAAAUUGUUGCAGUUAAAAAGCUCGUAGUUGGAUCUAAGGAUUUGGUCCGGGAGGUCUACCUUUUGGUGGGCUAACUGGCCAGCCUUUAUAGUCGUGGUCGGUUUGGGUGUUCUUAACUGAGCGCUCUUACUGCCCGGCGAAAUUACUUUGAGAAAAUUAAAGUGCUUAAAGCAGGCAUAUGCUUGUAUAUUGUUGCAUGGAAUAAUGGAAUAGGAGUUCGCUUCUAUUUUGUUGGUUUUCGAAUCGAACUAAUGAUUAACAGGGACAUUUGUGGACAUACGUAUGUACGGGCGAGGGGUGAAAUCCGUUGACCCUGUACAGACGACCUACAGCGAAAGCAUUUGUCAGGAAUGUUUUCAUUAAUCAAGAACGAAAGUCAGAGGUUCGAAGACGAUCAGAUACCGUCCUAGUUCUGACCAUAAAUGAUGCCAUCUUGCAAUCCUGAUACCUGUUUCUACAGGUGGAAGGGGCUGCCCCCGGGAAACCAAAGAUUUUGGGUUCCGGGGGAAGUAUGGUUGCAAAGCUGAAACUUAAAGGAAUUGACGGAAGGGCACACAAGGAGUGGAUCCUGCGGCUUAAUUUGACUCAACACGGGGAACCUCACCCGGCCAGGACACUUAAAGGAUUGACAGAUUGACAGCUCUUUCUUAAUCAGGUGAUUGGUGGUGCAUGGCCGUUCUUAGUUGGUGGAGUGAUUUGUCUGGUUAAUUCCGAUAACGAACGAGACUCAAACCUGCUAAAUAGAGUUUAAGUUACAUUGAAAGAGCUUGAAAGACUUCUUAGAGGGAUUUAUGACAUAUAGUCAUAAGAGAGUGAGCAAUAACAGGUCUGUGAUGCCCUUAGAUGUUUGGGGCAGCACGCGGGCUACAAUGAGUAGUUCGCAGAGUAGUCAUUCCUUACUUGAAAUGGUUGGGAAACCUGAGGUAACCUUAAGCCAAAGUCUGGAUAAGGAUUUGCAAUUAUUUCCUUUGAAGCAGGAAUUCCUCGUAAUCUUACUUUAUCAGAGUGAGAUGAAUACGUCCCUGCCCUUUGUACACACCGCCCGUCGCUACUACCGAUUGAAUGUUUUAGGGAGGUCUUAGGACGGGAGCGGACGGACCGGCG